RNAcentral lists this ribosomal RNA (253 nucleotides) under uncultured bacterium. RNAcentral describes it as "partial 16S ribosomal RNA". It matches the Rfam family "Bacterial small subunit ribosomal RNA", at positions 524 to 776 of the family's 1533-position model. The record is from RNAcentral.
UACGAAGGGGGCUAGCGUUGUUCGGAAUUACUGGGCGUAAAGCGUGCGUAGGCGGUUCUCCAAGUCCGUUGUGAAAGCCCCGGGCUCAACCUGGGAAUGGCAGUGGAAACUAGGGGACUGGAAUCUGGCAGAGGGGGGUGGAAUGCCGCGUGUAGCAGUGAAAUGCGUAGAGAUGCGGCGGAACACCGAUGGCGAAGGCAGCCCCCUGGGCUGAGAUUGACGCUCAGGCACGAAAGCGUGGGGAGCAAACGGG